UGGGGAAUAUUGCACAAUGGGGGAAACCCUGAUGCAGCGACGCCGCGUGAGUGAAGAAGUAUUUCGGUAUGUAAAGCUCUAUCAGCAGGGAAGAAAACAAUGACGGUACCUGACUAAGAAGCCCCGGCUAACUACGUGCCAGCAGCCGCGGUAAUACGUAGGGGGCAAGCGUUAUCCGGAUUUACUGGGUGUAAAGGGAACGUAGACGGUAGACCAAGUCUGAAGUGAAAGCCCGGGGCUCAACCCCGGAACUGCAUUGGAAACUGUCGUACUAGAGUGUCGGAGGGGUAAGUGGAAUUCCUAGUGUAGCGGUGAAAUGCGUAGAUAUUAGGAGGAACACCAGCGGCGAAGGCGGCUUACUGGACGAUAACUGACGCUGAGGCUCGAAAGCGUGGGGAGCAAACAGGAUUAGAUACCCUGGUAGU
RNAcentral lists this ribosomal RNA (425 nucleotides) under uncultured Roseburia sp. RNAcentral describes it as "bacterial SSU rRNA". It matches the Rfam family "Bacterial small subunit ribosomal RNA", at positions 355 to 794 of the family's 1533-position model. The record is from RNAcentral. Lineage: Bacteria; Bacillati; Bacillota; Clostridia; Lachnospirales; Lachnospiraceae.